This 683-nucleotide ribosomal RNA is filed under the name uncultured bacterium. RNAcentral's name for it is "bacterial SSU rRNA". It matches the Rfam family "Bacterial small subunit ribosomal RNA", at positions 114 to 815 of the family's 1533-position model. The record is from RNAcentral.
CGCGUGGGUAACCUGCCUUGUACUGGGGGACAACAGUUGGAAACGACUGCUAAUACCGCAUAAGCGCACAGCUUCGCAUGAAGCAGUGUGAAAAACUCCGGUGGUACAAGAUGGACCCGCGUCUGAUUAGCUGGUUGGUGAGGUAACGGCCCACCAAGGCAACGAUCAGUAGCCGGCCUGAGAGGGUGAACGGCCACAUUGGGACUGAGACACGGCCCAAACUCCUACGGGAGGCAGCAGUGGGGAAUAUUGCACAAUGGGGGAAACCCUGAUGCAGCAACGCCGCGUGAGUGAAGAAGUAUUUCGGUAUGUAAAGCUCUAUCAGCAGGAAAGAAAAUGACGGUACCUGACUAAGAAGCCCCGGCUAACUACGUGCCAGCAGCCGCGGUAAUACGUAGGGGGCAAGCGUUAUCCGGAUUUACUGGGUGUAAAGGGAGCGUAGACGGUUUUGCAAGUCUGAAGUGAAAGCCCGGGGCUUAACCCCGGGACUGCUUUGGAAACUGUAGGACUAGAGUGCAGGAGAGGUAAGUGGAAUUCCUAGUGUAGCGGUGAAAUGCGUAGAUAUUAGGAGGAACACCAGUGGCGAAGGCGGCUUACUGGACUGUAACUGACGUUGAGGCUCGAAAGCGUGGGGAGCAAACAGGAUUAGAUACCCUGGUAGUCCACGCCGUAAACGAUGAUUA